This is a non-coding RNA of Heterocephalus glaber (naked mole-rat), 1603 nucleotides long. NCBI's taxonomy places the organism in Eukaryota, Metazoa, Chordata, Mammalia, Rodentia, Bathyergidae. The record is from RefSeq and is a predicted model, not a curated record.
GUUGCAUUGUUCUCUUGAUUUCUUUUUCUGGACUGUCCAUUGUGAGUAUAUGGAAAUACCAUUGAUUUUUGUAUAUUGACCUUGUAUCCUGCCACUUUGCUAUUCUCAUUAAUUCUUGUUUAUUGUGGCAAAACACAUAGCAUGAGGCCCACCCUUUUAACCAGUGCCUCAGUCUUCAGUACAGUGUGGGUAACUGUCAGAGCAGCGCUGCUCAGUGUCUCUGGAAUGCUUUCUUCUUGUGCAAUUGAAACUAUAGCAACUGAACAGCGGCUCCACAUGUCCUCCUCCCCCGACCCACUCUCAUUCCCUCUUCCCACAAGUGCGACUGCCACACUCCUCACGCAAGUCAGUCACGCUGAAUCUCCUGCGUGGCCGAGUUUGUCUUCAAGGUUCAUUCAUGUUGUGGCCUGAGACCAGGCCACGUUGUGUGGCUGCUGAAUAACAGACCAUGGAGUGAGUUUGCUGCAUUUUCUCUACUCAUUGGUCUGUCAGUGGGCAUUUAGACAUUUCUACAUUUUGGCUACUAUGAGUACUGCUAACAUGAACAUGGGAAUACAAAUAUCUUCUUGAGAGUUGGACUUCAACGCUUCUGAAUAAAUGCCAUAAAGUGGGAUGGCUGCAUCAUCUGGUGGUUCUGUUUUGGGGGAGGGUAUUUUGAGACGGUUUCACUAUGUAGUUCAGGCUGGCCUGGAACUCACACUGAUCCUCCUGCCUCAGCCUCCUGAGUGCUGGAUUUACAGUGUUAAACUGACUUUGCACUCCUGGGAUACAACCCACUUGACCACUGCGAGCUGUCCUCUCAUGUGUUGCUGGAUUCUGUUUGCUAUUAAUGGUUGGAGGGUUUUGCUGCUGUAUUCAUGAGAGGGAUUAGAGGCCUCCGCCUCACACCACCCGAGCCCUCUGGUCGAGGCCGCCUGCAUGCUGAGGUGAGAUCACCACCACUCCAGGAAGUGCACCCCCAGUCCCUGGUGCCUGUCCCUGUCCUCCUGCAAUGAAGGUGAUGGAAUGUCAGCAGAAGGCUUUAAAGCAGAGCUUCAUAGCUGGAAGAGGGAGCCACAGGCAGGCGACAUCCGAGGCCCCACUUGCAUGGCCACCUGAGCCCAGAGGCUGUGCACGAAGCCAGGACCGAGGCUCUGGGAGCCGAGCUUCGAGUGGCCUCUUGCUCCCCGCAGCAGGGAAGUGGGGCACCGGCCAGACUGCAAGGCGCUGGUUCUGCCACCACCAGAAGCAGCACAUCCUUCCCGGAGCCUCCCACUGGGGUCCAGCCACUGAUGCUGUGAUUUCACCUCGGGAACCCUGGGUCAAAGCGUCCAGUUGAGCCAAGCUGGAUUUCUGAAUGACAGAGAGUGAGAUGAUACAUUUGUGUUGUCUUUGUAUUUGUAAUCACUUGUAGGGUUGGGGUUAGGACAGUGCAGAGCACAAACCUGGCACUCAUGAGACCCUGGGUCCAAUCCCUAGUGCCAGGGAAAAAAAAUCUUUAUAUUUGUAAUAACUUGUUAAGGCAACAAAAGAAAACCAACACAAUACCUAAACUAUAAAUCUGAUGUCAGAUUCCACUUCAAACCUUCUCAUGACUUUUUUGGUUUUGGUUUUGGUUUUUUAA